This 440-nucleotide ribosomal RNA is filed under the name uncultured marine bacterium 311. RNAcentral describes it as "bacterial SSU rRNA". It matches the Rfam family "Bacterial small subunit ribosomal RNA", at positions 1093 to 1532 of the family's 1533-position model. The record is from RNAcentral.
CGAGCGCACCCCUAUCCUUAUUUGCCAGCGCAUAAUGGCGGGAACUAUAAGUUAGACUGCCGGUCAUAAACCGGAGGAAGGCGGGGACGAUGUCAAGUCAUCAUGGCCCUUAUGGGUAGGGCUACACACGUGAUACAAUGGGUGGUACAGAGGGUCGCCAAAGCGCGAGCUGGAGCCAAACCCUUAAAACCAUUCUUAGUCCGGAUUGGAGUCUGCAACUCGACUCCAUGAAGUCGGAAUCGCUAGUAAUCGCGAAUCAGAAUGUCGCGGUGAAUACGUUCUCGGGCCUUGUACACACCGCCCGUCACGUCAUGGAAGUGGGUUGCACCAGAAGUGGCUUGUUUAACCUUCGGGAAAACGGUCACCACGGUGUGAUUCACAACUGGGACGAAGUCGUAACAAGGUAGCCCUAGGGGAACCUGGGGCUGGAUCACCUCCUU